AUUCCAUGGUGUGGGCAGCAUUGCAGUAUGUCCUUGUACCUCUCCCAAGUGUCGUACAUCAACUCAUUAUCAAACUGCACAAAAAAAGAUAUGUCAUCUCUAAGUUU
Molecule: non-coding RNA, 107 nt
Organism: Ricinus communis (castor bean)
Lineage: Eukaryota; Viridiplantae; Streptophyta; Magnoliopsida; Malpighiales; Euphorbiaceae
Source: Rfam